Grus americana (Whooping crane) is the source of this 329-nucleotide long non-coding RNA. RefSeq lists it as uncharacterized. Lineage: Eukaryota; Metazoa; Chordata; Aves; Gruiformes; Gruidae. The record is from RefSeq and is a predicted model, not a curated record. The transcript is spliced from 3 exons.
CUUUUUCUUUCCCUUUCGAAGCAAGACACACCUCUGCUCUGCUGGAAGGAGAGUCUUUCCAACGCUGCUGGCAAUGUAAAUGGUUACACAGCUGAAGCUUUGCCCAGAUGGGGAACCCCACUGUUCCAUGAAUAUGACGUGAGAAUAAAAUCUGAGCAAGUUGAGUGGAUUGGUCUGACAUGCUAACAUGGAGAUUUUGUCCUUUCUCCCACUUCCCCCAUUUUAGUUUGAGAUUUUUGUUGCUUUAAGUCUUUGGUGGUGACGUCUGAUCUUCACCCAUCAAUCAGAACUGGAGCUCAGCAGUCAUUUCUGUGCCUAGCUACACUGAG